ACACAUGCAAGUCGAGGGGUAUUAGUUUUCGGACUAAGAGACCGGCGCACGGGUGCGUAACGCGUAUGCAAUCUACCUUUUACAGAGGGAUAGCCCAGAGAAAUUUGGAUUAAUACCUCAUAGUAUAGCAGUUUCGCAUGAAACCACUAUUAAAGUCACAACGGUAAAAGAUGAGCAUGCGUCCCAUUAGCUAGUUGGUAAGGUAACGGCUUACCAAGGCUACGAUGGGUAGGGGUCCUGAGAGGGAGAUCCCCCACACUGGUACUGAGACACGGACCAGACUCCUACGGGAGGCAGCAGUGAGGAAUAUUGGACAAUGGGCGCAAGCCUGAUCCAGCCAUGCCGCGUGCAGGAUGACGGUCCUAUGGAUUGUAAACUGCUUUUGUACGAGAAGAAACACUCCUAUGUAUAGGAGCUUGACGGUAUCGUAAGAAUAAGGAUCGGCUAACUCCGUGCCAGCAGCCGCGGUAAUACGGAGGAUCCAAGCGUUAUCCGGAAUCAUUGGGUUUAAAGGGUCCGUAGGCGGUUUAGUAAGUCAGUGGUGAAAGCCCAUCGCUCAACGGUGGAACGGCCAUUGAUACUGCUGAACUUGAAUUAUUAGGAAGUAACUAGAAUAUGUAGUGUAGCGGUGAAUGCUUAGAGAUUACAUGGAAUACCAAUUGCGAAGGCAGGU
Molecule: ribosomal RNA, 673 nt
Filed under: uncultured Flavobacteriales bacterium
Lineage: Bacteria; Pseudomonadati; Bacteroidota; Flavobacteriia; Flavobacteriales
Description: bacterial SSU rRNA
Rfam family: Bacterial small subunit ribosomal RNA
Source: RNAcentral